GACGAACGCUGGCGGCGUGCUUAACACAUGCAAGUCGAACGGAAAGGCCCUGCUUUUGUGGGGUGCUCGAGUGGCGAACGGGUGAGUAACACGUGAGUAACCUGCCCUUGACUUUGGGAUAACUUCAGGAAACUGGGGCUAAUACCGGAUAGGAGCUCCUGCUGCAUGGUGGGGGUUGGAAAGUUUCGGCGGUUGGGGAUGGACUCGCGGCUUAUCAGCUUGUUGGUGGGGUAGUGGCUUACCAAGGCUUUGACGGGUAGCCGGCCUGAGAGGGUGACCGGCCACAUUGGGACUGAGAUACGGCCCAGACUCAUACGGGAGGCAGCAGGGGGGAAUAUUGCACAAUGGGCGGAAGCCUGAUGCAGCAACGCCGCGUGCGGGAUGACGGCCUUCGGGUUGUAAACCGCUUUCGCCUGUGACGAAGCGUGAGUGACGGUAAUGGGUAAAGAAGCACCGGCUAACUACGUG
This 468-nucleotide ribosomal RNA is filed under the name uncultured bacterium. RNAcentral's name for it is "partial 16S ribosomal RNA". It matches the Rfam family "Bacterial small subunit ribosomal RNA", at positions 28 to 507 of the family's 1533-position model. The record is from RNAcentral.